Long non-coding RNA from Coffea arabica (coffee), 496 nucleotides. RefSeq lists it as uncharacterized. The record is from RefSeq and is a predicted model, not a curated record. Lineage: Eukaryota; Viridiplantae; Streptophyta; Magnoliopsida; Gentianales; Rubiaceae.
ACCAAGAGUUAGUAGAUAAUUUAAACCAUCUUGAAGCUUUCUUUCCCAUAGCUUGGCCGAAAUUCAUGAAGCUUAGAGAGGAAGAGAGAAACUCCAUUUUCCUUGCUUUCUAACCUUGGUAAAUCAAGAGCAAAAAUCAAAAGAGUAAGAUCUUGAGUGGGUUGAGAAACUUCCCUUCAUUCCUAGUGGUUGAUCCAAGCUUGAAGCUUCCAUCUUGGUGGAUUGUUUGGUGACCUAAGCAACUUGUAAGAGAGUGGGAAACGAAGGUGGUCGUAACCGAGACACUUGACGUUUAACUACUGCUUGGCUUGACAGAUCAGGGAUGGACUAACGGUUGAGCGCUUUCUUAGCUUUAUUUUGCUUGAACUUGUAACCCUUUUUGUUAAGACGAUUUUACUUUUGACUUUUGUAAGCUUGAAUUCAUAAGUUUGACUUAUGUUAUGUAAUUGUAGUAUUGAGUGGUAAGUGUGACUUUUAGCUUGCCAUUUUAAGUUUG